UGGGUGGGCAAAGCAGAGAAAGGUGAGGUAGCAUUGCCCUUAUGACCCCUCCUAAGGAGCAAGAUUCCAGAUCGGCCCAUCUGAGCUUUUAUUUUCUCAAAUGCAGACUAGGAUACCCAGGGCUCGGUUUAUACCUAUCACCAUUUCUAGCCACUGGGGGACCAUAGGCACGCUGGGGGAACGCAUAUUAAUGUUAACAAACCUCAUAAAGUGACAUUUUCAUGCCAUGGGCCCUUUAAUCAGCCCUUUCUCUUAAAGCAGUGUGGGAUAACCCCAUGCAGAAUAAAUCUCCUUGCAUCUUUGAAUAGACCAUGUAGCUCAGAUCAUGCUCUGGAUGCCGAAUCCGCCUGCAUUUGAUUAAAUCUCAAUAAUUUAUUAAAUCUGCAUUACAAACCUGAAUCCUUUUCACUCAGUUAUACCUUAAUAUUUAAAAAAAGAAAGAGUAAAAAAAAAAGUAUUUUUAUCAUCAUUAAUUAUAUUCUAAGCUUAACUAAUGUGGGUUCUGUACUGAAUAUUAACUUAAACUAAACUGGCUGUCAGAGCCCAACCCUGUUAGUCAGAUUAAACACCACACACAAACAGCCCAGGUGUAGUUAAAUUCAGUUGUCCGUUUUGGCAAUAAAAACACCAUGCUAACAAGGCAGUAUUUCCCUAAAAGUCUGAUUAAACAGUCCCAGUGGGCAGGCGUGGACUUCCUGUUUGUAACAUCCUCCAACUUGUGUUUGGCACCUGGGCAACUUCCUCUCUCACCUUUGUGUCAUCCACCAGCUGACCGUGUUUCAUGUAGUUUUUAGUGAACAGGAAACCAAGUGCUGUGGUGUUUACCGUUGUUUACUGUACAUAGGACAUGGAUCUCCUGAGUAUCCCUGCCACACACAUUUGUCAAUGACUACUCUACUCUUGUCUUUUCUAUUUCCUCUCAUCUGUUUCUUUUUUUUCUGGUUUUAUUGCCCUGUCAGUGGAAGCCAGUGAUUUAUUUUUGUUUUUAUUUUUUGUUCACUUCCCCCUCUCUGUCUCUCUGCUAACUGUAAAGCUGACAUCCUUCACAACAGGUGAGGGUUCAGAUUGUCUCUUUAGUGGACUUUACAUGACUUAUUUUGUGUUUUUUGUGGGAGUGUUGGGAUGCAAAUGUUUCUACUUUGUAUAAUGAUGGACAAUUGUGUAUUUACUGUCUGUUCAUAGUAGAUUUAUAUAUGAAAAGAAAUACGUAUAUUAUAUAUAUAUAUAUAUAUCUAUACAUAAUGAAAACCAUGAUCCUGUUUUUGAAGUUGGUAUUGCAAAAUGCUACAUUUCAUGGGCCUUAGACUCAGUCUGCCCUGUUUUGGGUGUUACUUAAGGCACCGUUUGCUGUCCUUAGUUACAGUUGGUUACAUGUUGAGUAGCAUUUUACUGGUUUUCUUUUUGUCUUUUAACACUGAUGACUAGUUUUUGGCUUUAACCAUCCCAUUGGUACCAUUACACUAAUACUCUAGGCCCUUGCCCUCCGCUCAGCCUCGCAGCUUCAUGCACGUAUUCCUAUUAUUCCACCUCUUUAUUUGUGUAUAUAUAUUAUUUUAUAAAAACACACAUUUUAGCUGGUACCAUAAAGUUUAAAGACUAAAAUUCGAAAUCUGGAUUCUGCGCAUCUCAAAAACAAUCUCUAGUGGUUCUCUAUGUUAAAGGUUUACAAGUUCAUCCUCUAUCAACAAGACCA
This is a long non-coding RNA of Etheostoma cragini (Arkansas darter), 1693 nucleotides long. RefSeq lists it as uncharacterized. The transcript has 2 exons. The record is from RefSeq and is a predicted model, not a curated record. Lineage: Eukaryota; Metazoa; Chordata; Actinopteri; Perciformes; Percidae.